Molecule: non-coding RNA, 72 nt
Organism: Vicugna pacos (alpaca)
Lineage: Eukaryota; Metazoa; Chordata; Mammalia; Artiodactyla; Camelidae
Source: the annotation of a RefSeq genome assembly
GAGGGUACGGCUCAGUGGUAGAGCACGUGCUUUGCAUGCAAGAGGUCCUGGGUUCAAUUCCCAGUACCUCCA